UGGAUGUUUCCUCUGUGGUAGUGGGGCGGCACCGCCUGAUAGACUUUGGUAAGCUUGCAUGUCACAGUCAGGACUGAAAAGAACCAUACAAGCAUGAAACUGAGUUCUAAAUUCACCUGCUAUACCUACCAAAAGAUCACAAGCGUGCACCACCACUUGUUCAAUUUUGGUUUCUCCCGAAGACUUACCUACCCAUACACUUUAUAAUCUCCAUACUAACAGCUGAAUUGUGAGGCAGGUUAUGGCUAUGCCUAGUUGCCACAGACCUAAAAAGAUUUCUUUGGUACAGAUCGUAGUCAUGCAAAUUCCUUGACAC
This 316-nucleotide long non-coding RNA is filed under the name Elaeis guineensis (African oil palm). RNAcentral's name for it is "long non-coding RNA (EGUI_LNC004177)". The record is from RNAcentral. Lineage: Eukaryota; Viridiplantae; Streptophyta; Magnoliopsida; Arecales; Arecaceae.